AAAACAGUGCAUUGCCCUCAGCACCUUUUGAUGUGAAAAAUAUUGCCGUUUCGUUUCAAGCGACAGUUUCAGCCCUCCUGGAUUUUGCGAAAACUAACAGAAGAGCCGGCUUCUAACAUCGUGAGAAGACGCAACAUUGUGAUUGAAGGGGCAUUUCCCAAGAAUGGGGAAGAAGAUAAAGCGCCACUUUGUUGAGGAUCAGGUGGUGGCGAUCGACCCUCUUCCUUUUACCUGGAGGGUGAAAGGGCCUGGACCUCUACUGUCUGGAUUUGAAGAUGUCUCGACUUAAACAACUGGUGUUUGCCUUUGAAUUCGGAUCUGUGGACCCCAGGCAGUCGUUCCCAGUGACUGAAUUUCCUGCAAGGAUCGUUAAACCUGACAUCUCUUUAAAUGAGCUGGAAGAACUGCAACCUGAAGCGCUUUUUCCUUUUGAGAGUCUCUCUGAAUUGGAUGCAUCCCUCAACGCUUUAGGCGGCUCCAGCAUCCUGGGGAUUGGUGUUCUUCCCAACCUUGCUGUAUUGAACCUCAGCUACAAUGCGCUGAGCGAUGUGAGAGACUUAGGGAGCUGCACUCACCUGCUUGUCCUUAACUUGUCUCACAAUCAAGUGCGGACCCUCGAGCACAUGCCCCUCCUGAGUAACCUGACGCGGCUUCACUUAGGGUCCAACAAGCUGAGCUCCUUGGAAGGCAUGCAGAAUCUGCCCCAGCUCUGCGAACUCUACAUCCAGAGGAACCGGAUUUCCAGCUUGCUGCCACUCUCCUCCUCCCUGGCCCUCAACAUACUGGAUGCUUCCAGCAACAAGAUUGCCUGCCUGCAGUACACCCUGCAUGUGCUCAGGGGGCUUCGCAGACUGAGACACCUCAAACUUCAGGGCAACCCACUGGCUCGGGAUAACCGCUGCGCCACUGCAGUCAAACAGGCCCUGGCUGUGGAGACCCUGGACGAUGUGCUUCUUCGGUUGGGCCCUGCUCGGGGAAUCGCUGGCCAGUGUGAUGGACUCAAGCCAAACCAAGGAGGAUCUGAAAAUAUCAGCUAG
This 1037-nucleotide long non-coding RNA is filed under the name Crocodylus porosus (Australian saltwater crocodile). RNAcentral's name for it is "lncRNA (ENSCPRG00005001969.1)". The record is from RNAcentral. Lineage: Eukaryota; Metazoa; Chordata; Crocodylia; Crocodylidae.